RNAcentral lists this ribosomal RNA (449 nucleotides) under uncultured bacterium. RNAcentral describes it as "partial 16S ribosomal RNA". It matches the Rfam family "Bacterial small subunit ribosomal RNA", at positions 29 to 507 of the family's 1533-position model. The record is from RNAcentral.
AAUGAACGCUAGCGGUAGGCCUAACACAUGCAAGUUGAACGCAUACUUUUACAGUAUAAGUAGCAAACGGGUGAGUAACGCGUGAGAAAUCUACCUUACAAUCCGGGAUAAAAUCCCGGAUUCUUUCUAAACUAGAUGUUCCGACAAAUAGUAUAGAAUAAAAGAUUAAAUGUCGUUGUAAGAUGUGCUCGCGUAGGAUUAGGUAGUUGGUGAGGUAAAAGCUACACCAAGCCGAAGAUCCUUAGCUGGUCUGAGAGGAUGAUCAGCCACACUGGGACUGAGACACGGCCCAGACGCUUUCGAGCGGCAGCAGUGAGGAAUUUUGGACAAUGGGCGAAAGCCUGAUCCAGCCAUAUCGCAUGAGUGAAGAAGGCUCAAUUGGUUGUAAAGCUCUGAUUUGAGUGAAGAUUAUGACAUAAGAUAAAAGAAUAGUCCCGGCUAACUUCGUG